AAGUCUGCAACUACAAUUAGAAUUAAUUUUCUAUAUUCAGGUAUUGUUUCUCCAAUUCGUUUCUUUUGCUUGAUAUCUGUAAAUCUAUUUUUCUGUCUUUUCUAUAAUCGCCGUUUGUUUGGCUGAUUGUGUUCCCUGAUCUUCUGAAAUCCUCAGCAUGUUAGUGUUGGUUGUUCUCCUGCCUCUGUUUUUGUUUCCUUCUCCUGUUGUUGUCAUUUCUCUCUUUUCCUUCUUUGACCUUAAUCAGAGGUGCCUUGAUAGUUUUUGUUUUCUCUAGCAAUAGACUGUUUCAACUUAAAUUUCAUUGGGGCUUUUCCUCCUUUAGAUUAUCCUUCCACUUGGAUUCUUAUGUCCUUAUCAUCAAAUUAGCUAAAGGUGAAUUUCAUUUGUGCAACUAGUAAGAUUGUUACAUAUAGAUUUUCAUUUUGAUAGUGUACUUUUGAAUAGUUUCCUUUGUUUGAAUUAGUUUCUCCUGGUUUCAACCUUCGCCAACCCUGAUCUAAACAUGCUUCUUAUAAUUUAUGUUGUCACCAAUGAUAAAUGGUCUCACUUACUUGUUCGGUUUCACGUUUCACGUCUCUUCUUUAUUCAUUGUUUUAGAUAAUUGACGCAGCAGUAGUGACCAUUCCUCCAUCGAACCUCUUAGACAAAAUUUAUCAGACAUCAUUUGGGUCCUCGAUUGAAUCUACCACAAUCAUGGUAGAGACGCCAUGCCAUCCUGGACCAGCUUGCUUACAAAUUCACAACAGUUUUCCUCUUAACUUUCAGGAUCAUAUCCUAUUCGUGGCCCUAGUGCCCGGUUUUUGAUUUUUCACCCCCAAUUUCAGGGCCUUUGUGCCCUGUUUCAGAAGCUAGUCUCUGAUGUCGUAGCCUUCUGCUUCGUUAAUCAAAACUCAAUGUAAUCUUCUAAAAUAAUCCAAUUUUGUUACUCAUCAUUAGUCCAU
RNAcentral lists this long non-coding RNA (944 nucleotides) under Linum usitatissimum (flax). RNAcentral's name for it is "long non-coding RNA (LUSI_LNC002413)". Lineage: Eukaryota; Viridiplantae; Streptophyta; Magnoliopsida; Malpighiales; Linaceae. The record is from RNAcentral.